GCUGGGGGUCGUCGGGUAGGGGUGGGCUAGGGGAGGAAGGGGCGGGGGAGGUACUGGCGGCGGCGGGGGACCACGCCCGCGUGGAGGGCGGCGGCCGGUGGGGGUGGGACCUCGUGUGCUUGCGUCAGCCAACGGUGCGAUGGAGGGCGAGGUGGGAGGCGAUGCCGCCGGCGGACGACGGAAGAUAGAGGCGCGUGCGUGGCGGGAGGAGCGUACCUAGGUGGGGAACACGGUGGGCUAGGACCCAGGCCAGCGACGCGGCGGGAACCUAGGCCGGCGGCACGACGGGGGCGCUGGCCUAGGUCGGCGGCAGUUGUGUGCGACGGUGGAGGAUGACGACGGGCGGUAGUCAGCUGAAAGCUACGACCACUCGAUCUUCCACGUUCAUCCUUCGAUGGGCACGUAUUUGUUACCUCUAAAAAAACGUUUUUUUCCCCAACAGGCAAGAUCAGCUUCAUCUGGUUCGAUACCUUCUUGUCCCAGAGUGAACACACACGAAAAAUCAAGUAGAAGAUACCUACUAACAUGGCGACAACAACUAAACAACCACUGUACACUACAUAAACGAACUACAUUACGGACUCUUGUUUCAAGACGAUACGGACUCUUAUACACGUCAUGCACCGACCACAAAUACGUUUAAAAUCAGUUUUUUUCUUAAAAAACUACUAUACGUAGAUCAACAACAAGC
RNAcentral lists this ribosomal RNA (691 nucleotides) under Triticum aestivum (bread wheat). RNAcentral's name for it is "partial small subunit ribosomal RNA". Lineage: Eukaryota; Viridiplantae; Streptophyta; Magnoliopsida; Poales; Poaceae. The record is from RNAcentral.